AACGAACGCUGGCGGCAUGCCUAACACAUGCAAGUCGAACGAGACCUUCGGGUCUAGUGGCGCACGGGUGCGUAACGCGUGGGAACCUGCCCUUAGGUUCGGAAUAACUCCCCGAAAGGGGUGCUAAUACCGGAUAAUGUCUUCGGACCAAGAUUUAUCGCCUUUGGAUGGGCCCGCGUUGGAUUAGCUAGUUGGUAGGGUAAAAGCCUACCAAGGCGACGAUCCAUAGCUGGUCUGAGAGGAUGAUCAGCCACACUGGGACUGAGACACGGCCCAGACUCCUACGGGAGGCAGCAGUGGGGAAUAUUGGACAAUGGGCGAAAGCCUGAUCCAGCAAUGCCGCGUGAGUGAUGAAGGCCUUAGGGUUGUAAAGCUCUUUUACCCGGGAUGAUAAUGACAGUACCGGGAGAAUAAACUCCGGCUAACUCCGU
RNAcentral lists this ribosomal RNA (431 nucleotides) under uncultured bacterium. RNAcentral describes it as "partial 16S ribosomal RNA". It matches the Rfam family "Bacterial small subunit ribosomal RNA", at positions 29 to 506 of the family's 1533-position model. The record is from RNAcentral.